RNAcentral lists this ribosomal RNA (3108 nucleotides) under Proteus mirabilis. RNAcentral describes it as "bacterial LSU rRNA". It matches the Rfam family "Bacterial large subunit ribosomal RNA". Lineage: Bacteria; Pseudomonadati; Pseudomonadota; Gammaproteobacteria; Enterobacterales; Morganellaceae. The record is from RNAcentral.
GGGUUGUGAGGUUAAGCGAAUAAGCGUACACGGUGGAUGCCUAGGCAAUCAGAGGCGAUGAAGGACGUGCUAAUCUGCGAAAAGCGUCGGUAAGGUGAUAUGAACCGUUAUACCCGACGAUAUCCGAAUGGGGAAACCCAGUAUCCAAUGGAUACUAUCAUUAACUGAAUCCAUAGGUUAAUGAGGCGAACCGGGAGAACUGAAACAUCUCAGUACCCCGAGGAAAAGAAAUCAACCGAGAUUCCCCUAGUAGCGGCGAGCGAACGGGGAGCAGCCCAGAGUAUUAAUCAAUAACAGUGUCAGGAGAACGGUCUGGAAAGUCCGGCAGUAAAGGGUGAUAGCCCCGUAUCUGAAGAUGCUGUUAUUGUGAACUCGACGAGUAGGGCGGGACACGUGUUAUCCUGUCUGAAUAUGGGGGGACCAUCCUCCAAGGCUAAAUACUCCUGAUUGACCGAUAGUGAACCAGUACCGUGAGGGAAAGGCGAAAAGAACCCCGGCGAGGGGAGUGAAAAAGAACCUGAAACCGUGUACGUACAAGCAGUAGGAGCCCCAUCACUCAAGUGCCUCGCACUGAGUGAUGCAAGAACAUCACCGAAAAUAGCGCCGAAUUUGCUAACAAGGUUGGUCGAUUUUUUCAAGCCGUCGCGCAGUGUACCUAGAAGUACACGAGCAACGGAAGUUAAAAAAUCGGGCAAGAUUGAACGCAAAGGCAAGCGGGACAUUUGAGGAUGGGGUGACUGCGUACCUUUUGUAUAAUGGGUCAGCGACUUAUAUUCUGUAGCAAGGUUAACCGUAUAGGGGAGCCGUAGGGAAACCGAGUCUUAACUGGGCGAAUGAGUUGCAGGGUAUAGACCCGAAACCCGGUGAUCUAUCCAUGGGCAGGUUGAAGGUUGGGUAAAACUAACUGGAGGACCGAACCGACUAAUGUUGAAAAAUUAGCGGAUGACUUGUGGAUGGGGGUGAAAGGCCAAUCAAACCGGGAGAUAGCUGGUUCUCCCCGAAAGCUAUUUAGGUAGCGCCUCGUGAACUCAUCUUCGGGGGUAGAGCACUGUUUCGACUAGGGGGUCAUCCCGACUUACCAACUCGAUGCAAACUGCGAAUACCGAAGAAUGUUAUCACGGGAGACACACGGCGGGUGCUAACGUCCGUCGUGAAGAGGGAAACAACCCAGACCGCCAGCUAAGGUCCCAAAGUCAUGGUUAAGUGGGAAACGAAGUGGGAAGGCUCAGACAGCCAGGAUGUUGGCUUAGAAGCAGCCAUCAUUUAAAGAAAGCGUAAUAGCUCACUGGUCGAGUCGGCCCGCGCGGAAGAUGUAACGGGGCUAAACCAUGCACCGAAGCUGCGGCAGCGACACAAAGUGUUGUUGGGUAGGGGAGCGUUCUGUAAGCCUGCGAAGGUGUACUGUGAGGUAUGCUGGAGGUAUCAGAAGUGCGAAUGCUGACAUAAGUAACGAUAAUGCGGGUGAAAAACCCGCACGCCGGAAGACCAAGGGUUCCUGUCCAACGUUAAUCGGGGCAGGGUGAGUCGACCCCUAAGGCGAGGCUGAAAAGCGUAGUCGAUGGGAAACGGGUUAAUAUUCCCGUACUGGUGGUAACUGCGAUGGGGGAACGGAGAAGGCUAGGUUGUCCGGGCGACGGUCGUCCCGGUUCAAGCAGGUAGGCAGAGUGAUUAGGCAAAUCCGGUCACUUAAUGCUGAGAUGUGAUGACGAACCACCAAGGUGGUGAAGCAAUUGAUGCCCCGCUUCCAGGAAAAGCCUCUAAGCUUCAGGUUACCAACAAUCGUACCCCAAACCGACACAGGUGGUCAGGUAGAGAAUACUCAGGCGCUUGAGAGAACUCGGGUGAAGGAACUAGGCAAAAUGGUGCCGUAACUUCGGGAGAAGGCACGCUGGCGGUAGGUAAAGUCCCUCGCGGACAGAGCUGAAGCCAGUCGAAGAUACCAGCUGGCUGCAACUGUUUAUUAAAAACACAGCACUGUGCAAACACGAAAGUGGACGUAUACGGUGUGACGCCUGCCCGGUGCUGGAAGGUUAAUUGAUGGGGUCAGCCGUAAGGCGAAGCUCCUGAUCGAAGCCCCAGUAAACGGCGGCCGUAACUAUAACGGUCCUAAGGUAGCGAAAUUCCUUGUCGGGUAAGUUCCGACCUGCACGAAUGGCGUAAUGAUGGCCAGGCUGUCUCCACCCGAGACUCAGUGAAAUUGAACUCGCUGUGAAGAUGCAGUGUACCCGCGGCAAGACGGAAAGACCCCGUGAACCUUUACUAUAGCUUGACACUGAACAUUGAGCCUUGAUGUGUAGAUCUCGGUGGGAGGCCGUUUAAAUGAAAAAACCAGUCUGCAUGGAGCCAACCUUGAAAUACCACCCUUUAACGUUUGAUGUUCUAACCUAGGCCCAUAAACUGGGUCGGGGACCGUGUCUGGUGGGUAGUUUGACUGGGGCGGUCUCCUCCUAAAGAGUAACGGAGGAGCACGAAGGUUGGCUAAGCAUGGUCGGACAUCAUGCGGUUAGUGCAAAGGCAUAAGCCAGCUUGACUGCGAGAGUGACGGCUCGAGCAGGUACGAAAGUAGGUCUUAGUGAUCCGGUGGUUCUGAAUGGAAGGGCCAUCGCUCAACGGAUAAAAGGUACUCCGGGGAUAACAGGCUGAUACCGCCCAAGAGUUCAUAUCGACGGCGGUGUUUGGCACCUCGAUGUCGGCUCAUCACAUCCUGGGGCUGAAGUAGGUCCCAAGGGUAUGGCUGUUCGCCAUUUAAAGUGGUACGCGAGCUGGGUUUAGAACGUCGUGAGACAGUUCGGUCCCUAUCUGCCGUGGGCGUUGGAAGAUUGAGAGGGGUUGCUCCUAGUACGAGAGGACCGGAGUGAACGCACCACUGGUGUUCGGGUUGUCAUGCCAAUGGCAUUGCCCGGUAGCUAAGUGCGGAAGAGAUAACCGCUGAAAGCAUCUAAGCGGGAAACUUGCCUCGAGAUGAGUCUUCCCUGUCACUUUAAGUGACCUAAAGGAACGUUUAAGACUAAGACGUUGAUAGGCUGGGUGUGUAAGCGUAGCGAUACGUUGAGCUAACCAGUACUAAUGAACCGUGAGGCUUAACCUGACAACACCGAAAGUGUUUUG